CACGUAGGGGGCAAGCGUUGUCCGGAUUUAUUGGGCGUAAAGAGCUCGUAGGCGGCUCAGUAAGUCAGGUGUGAAACCUCCAGGCUCAACCUGGAGACGCCACCUGAUACUGCUGUGGCUAGAGUCCGGUAGGGGAGCGUGGAAUUCCUGGUGUAGCGGUGAAAUGCGCAGAUAUCAGGAGGAACACCGGUGGCGAAGGCGGGUCUCUGGGCCGUAACUGACGCUGAGGAGCGAAAGCAUGGGGAGCGAACAGG
This 254-nucleotide ribosomal RNA is filed under the name uncultured bacterium. Its description in RNAcentral is "partial 16S ribosomal RNA". It matches the Rfam family "Bacterial small subunit ribosomal RNA", at positions 524 to 776 of the family's 1533-position model. The record is from RNAcentral.